Molecule: ribosomal RNA, 450 nt
Filed under: Triticum aestivum (bread wheat)
Lineage: Eukaryota; Viridiplantae; Streptophyta; Magnoliopsida; Poales; Poaceae
Description: partial small subunit ribosomal RNA
Source: RNAcentral
CACGAGGCAUGGACUAUUCUUGAGCGCUCGUUUGCGGCACAGUCGCAGGCUCGUGUAUCUGGGCUCCGUCGCCAACUUGGGGAGUGUCAGAAGCUUGACUCCACCGCCACUGAGUUCUACAACAAAAUCAAGAGUCUCGCCGACACGCUGGCCUCCAUUGGACAGCCCCUCACCGACUCCGAGUUCAACUCGUUUAUUGUCAAUGGUCUUGAUGAGGAGUAUGACGCCCUAGUCGAGAUCAUCAAUGAGAGGGGCAACUCCACGCCCAUGCCAGCACACGAGGUCUUUUCACGCCUCCUGCUUACUGAGCAACGAGUCGAGACGCGCCGAUCCAGGGGCAACGACGCCCUCUCGGCAAACGCCGCCACCAAGGGUGGUCGCUCCUCUGCUUCAUCCAGGGCUCCUUCGGGGCAGUCACCACCACCCGCCUCGGCCCCUCCUCCUACUGCG